CCUACGGGUGGCAGCAGUGAGGAAUAUUGGUCAAUGGGCGCGAGCCUGAACCAGCCAAGUCGCGUGAGGGAAGACGGUCCUAUGGAUUGUAAACCUCUUUUGUCGGGGAGCAAAAGAUGCCACUAGUUGCGUUCUGAGAGUACCCGAAGAAAAAGCAUCGGCUAACUCCGUGCCAGCAGCCGCGGUAAUACUGAGGAUGCGAGCGUUAUCCGGGUUUAUUGGGUUGAAGGGGUGCGUAGGCGGAAUUUUAAGUCAGCGGUAAAAUGUCCGGGCUCAACCCGGGCCGGCCGUUGAAACUGGGGAUCUUGAGUGGGCGAGAAGUAUGCGGAAUGCGUGGUGUAGCGGUGAAAUGCAUAGAUAUCACGCAGAACUCCGAUUGCGAAGGCAGAAUACCGGCGCCCGACUGACGCUGAGGCACGAAAGCGUGGGGAUCGAACAGGAUUAGAUACCCGGGUAGUC
RNAcentral lists this ribosomal RNA (459 nucleotides) under uncultured bacterium. RNAcentral's name for it is "partial 16S ribosomal RNA". It matches the Rfam family "Bacterial small subunit ribosomal RNA", at positions 338 to 795 of the family's 1533-position model. The record is from RNAcentral.